GAAAUUCUAGCUGUGUCCAUUACUAACUAUGAGGUUCUCACCUUGUUGCCAGGAGUAUUGCAGGUAAUACAGUAUAUUCAUAAGAGUAUCAAUCUUGGGGCUAAAAUGCCUUGAUUCUUUGCACCUCUUUUAAAAGUCCUUACGUUGAAUUACUAAUUGAUAAGCAGCAGCUUCCUACACCUAACCGGAGACUGCCAUGUUUUUGCUCUCAUGAUUGGCUGGGCCUGCUGCUGUUCCUGGUUCUAAAGACUUUCAUGUUGUUAUUUCUGCAUCUUCACAAGUGGUCUCUAAGGUUUGUUGGAAGAAUAAAAUGAGGUACCUGUGAGAAAGCUCUAAAACCAUGGAAGUAUAUAGGUAGUACUUUGAGAUCUCAUAAAGGGAGUGUAUGUAUGGCAUCACUGAUCGUGCCUGUCUGGGAGAUGCUGAGCAGUAUGUCUAAGACCUAAAUGAACCCAGAGGAUUCUCAACUCAGUAUGACCCACCAUCGCUUUUCUGUUUCCCUGAACCACUUUUAUUUCGUUACCUAAUUAAAGAAACAAAUUGCCUAA
Molecule: long non-coding RNA, 548 nt
Filed under: Mustela putorius furo (domestic ferret)
Lineage: Eukaryota; Metazoa; Chordata; Mammalia; Carnivora; Mustelidae
Description: lncRNA (ENSMPUG00000028116.1)
Source: RNAcentral